AGUGAACGCUGGCGGUAGGCCUAACACAUGCAAGUCGAACGGCAGCACAGGAGAGCUUGCUCUCUGGGUGGCGGGUGGCGGACGGGUGAGGAAUACAUCGGAAUCUACUCUGUCGUGGGGGAUAACGUAGGGAAACUUACGCUAAUACCGCAUACGACCUACGGGUGAAAGCAGGGGAUCUUCGGACCUUGCGCGAUUGAAUGAGCCGGUGUCGGAUUAGCUAGUUGGCGGGGUAAAGGCCCACCAAGGCGACGAUCCGUAGCUGGUCUGAGACGACGAGCAGCCCCACUGGAACUGAGACGCGGUCCAGACUCCUACGGGAGGCAGCAGUGGGGAAUAUCGGACAAUGGGCGCAAGCCUGAUCCAGCCAUACCGCGUGGGGUAAGAAGGCCUUCGGGUUGUAAAGCCCUUUUGUUGGGAAAGAAAUCCAGCUGGCUAAUACCCGGUUGGGAUGACGGUACCCAAAGAAUAAGCACCGGCUAACUUCGUGCCAGCAGCCGCCGUAA
RNAcentral lists this ribosomal RNA (506 nucleotides) under uncultured bacterium. RNAcentral's name for it is "partial 16S ribosomal RNA". It matches the Rfam family "Bacterial small subunit ribosomal RNA", at positions 29 to 523 of the family's 1533-position model. The record is from RNAcentral.